GCCGAAGUAGCUCAGCGGUAGAGCACUCGAUUCGUAAUCGAGCGGUCGUGGGUUCAAAUCCCACCUUCGGCUCCA
This 75-nucleotide transfer RNA is filed under the name Allomeiothermus silvanus. Its description in RNAcentral is "tRNA-Thr". It matches the Rfam family "tRNA". From Rfam's summary of the family: Transfer RNA (tRNA) molecules are approximately 80 nucleotides in length. Their secondary structure includes four short double-helical elements and three loops (D, anti-codon, and T loops). The record is from RNAcentral. RNAcentral also lists the same sequence under 4 other names. Lineage: Bacteria; Thermotogati; Deinococcota; Deinococci; Thermales; Thermaceae.